CACUCUGGCUCUGAUAGCACCAAAGAAAUCAAUGGACUGUCCUGGGAAAGUGUCGACAAGCUUUACAAUGUCCUCCUUGGGAACAUUGUCAGUCCUGAAAAUCCCUGUGCACACACCAAUCCUGUCUUCACGAGUGGGAGCCCAGUAGAAUUUCUCCAUACGACCAUCUCGGAUGAGAGGGGCAUACAAUGUAGAGAAGUCAUUGCCUGUAACUAUGAUAGGAACACGGGGAUUCUCCUCUUUG
Molecule: unclassified non-coding RNA, 244 nt
Filed under: Hevea brasiliensis (rubber tree)
Lineage: Eukaryota; Viridiplantae; Streptophyta; Magnoliopsida; Malpighiales; Euphorbiaceae
Source: RNAcentral